CGUCCGGGAGGCGGGAGGGAGGGCUGGGAUACAGUCCUCAGGAAGUUUAACUCAACUUUCCGCUGAGUCCGCCGGGGGCGGGUGUCCAGGCUCGACUUUGAUCCCGGCGGCCGCGCCGAGGCCAGCAUUGCCACAACAGGAAAAAUGGCAGCUGUAAGGUAUGAACAAGGGACAGAGUCGGGAGAAGCAUACUGCUCUCCAACAGCAGAAGAGGCCACAGUGAAGAUUGAUAAUGGUCGUGAUGAAGAUAAUGGACCAGACACCUGUACCAAUGCAACUAGGAGAAAAAUCUCCCCAUUUGUGAUGUCAUUUGGAUUCAGAGUAUUUGGAGUUGUACUUAUCAUUGUGGACAUUGUAGUUGUGAUUCUGGAUCUGGCUAUCAGUGAGGAAAAGAAGAGUUCAGAGAUUCCCGAAGCUAUUUCCUUGGCAAUAGCACUCUUCUUUCUCGUCGAUGUUCUCCUGAGGGUAUUUGUUGAAGGCUUCAGGAGCUAUUUCCAAUCUAAACUGAAUAUUUUGGAUGCGUGUAUAGUGGUGGGCACUCUCUUAAUUAAUUUGAUGUACUCCAUCUUUGACCUUGAYGCAGCAGAGGAGAUACCAAGAAUGGUUAUUUUCCUCCGAGUUCUGAGAAUUGUCAUCUUGAUAAGAGUAUUUCGUCUGGCUUCACAAAAGAAGCAACUUGAAGUGGUGACCAGGAGGAUGGUCUCUGAAAACAAAAGGCGUUAUAUGAAAGAUGGCUUUGACCUGGAUCUCACUUAUAUUACUGAUCGAAUUAUUGCAAUGUCAUUUCCAUCUUCUGGGAAGCAGUCUUUCUACAGAAACCCCAUUAAGGAAGUUGCAAGAUUUUUGGACACUAAACAUCCAGACCACUAUAAAGUCUACAAUCUCUGCAGUGAAAAAGGCUAUGAUCCCAAGUACUUUCACUACAGGGUGGAAAGGAUCUUCAUUGAUGACCACAAUGUCCCAGCACUGCAGGACAUGCUGAAGUUCACUGCCAAUGUCCGUGAAUGGAUGAGUCAAGAUGAGAAGAACGUCAUAGCAAUUCACUGUAAAGGAGGCAAAGGCAGGACUGGAACAAUGGUCUGUACCUGGCUCAUAGAUAGUGACCAGUUUGAGAGUGCAAAGGAAAGUUUAGACUACUUUGGGGAGAGAAGAACUGAUAGAAGCACAAGUACCAAGUUUCAAGGAGUUGAAACUCCUUCCCAGAGUAGGUAUGUUGGGUAUUAUGAGAUCCUGAAAAACAAGUAUAACUUGACACUUCCACCAGAGAGACAACUCAAAAUAAAAAAUCUCAAAAUCCACACUAUACAUGGAAUUGGGAAAGGCAAUGGAAUUGAUAUGAAGGUGCAGAUAAUAACAAGGAAGCAAGUUGUACUACAAUGUGUAUGUGCCAAUCAAAAAAACUGCAAGCACUUCUUUGAUUCUGAAAGGGACUGUGUAGUCAUUGGCUUGGAAGACUGCCCUGUGCUAAGUGGYGAUGUGAAAAUCAGAUUUGAAUCAGAUUCUAAUCUCCCGAAAGGCUAUGAUGGCUGCCCGUUCUUUUUCUGGUUCAACACUUCCUUUAUUGAAAACAACAGACUCUACCUUCCCAGGAAUGAGCUGGAUAACCCUCACAAGUCUAAAACAUGGAAAGUCUAUAGUGAGACGUUUGCUGUGGAGGUGAACUUUAUUGAUCCAUAAGGGAAAUCUGAAAGAAGGGAAACAUGUAAAAUUAAUCUCUUUCCUGGAGAAUGUCUUGCUGUUUCAGUAUAAAGGGAAUGUCACUUGGAUGUAGUUAAUGUAUUUCUGUGUAGAUACAAUUUCUCAAAUAAAGUUACAUGAAGUUCUGUUGUGCAGGGCAACAAUACUCUGAAGAGUUAUUUAGCGUCAGUUGACUGUCACAUCAUGGGCUGUUGGAUCCUUGGAGUUUAGAUAUCUCUGCAUACAGGUAAUUCCUGUUUGAGUAAUCUAAGACAAUUACCUGUCUUUAAGCAUGAGCAUUAGCAUUAUGGUGGGUGAAGAUCAGCUGUCUGCAUGAGACUGRAAAAAUCUGACAUGCCUCCUUCAGCAUUGGAGUUUUCCACAGAUCAGUAGAAUGGGAAUUUUGAGGGAGAYGUAAUUAUCUUACUGUGUAGGAUUACUGCUUCUUUAGCAGAAGCCUUGGCAUUGAACUGCUCUUUUAUCAGGAAGCAGUGAUGUCAGGCUUUGAGCAACACAUGGCCUGGGAGCUGCUGUAACUCCCCUCAAAGGGCUGUGAUGGCCACUUGCCCUAAGGCUUAAGUAUAGCUGCCAUCAGAUCCUGAGCAUUCCARUUGCCUGGGAUCAGUUAGUGUGGCUGCCUCAAUACCUGCAUGUGAGUGGUUUGAUCUGAUUUGAGAAAAGAAUGCAAAUUUGAGCACUGUGAUUUGAGCAAAUAGUGCARAUGCUCACUGGCCCCUCUUGAGCUAUACUAAGACCUGUAAUGCACAAACUUCCAGGAUGCUUAUUCUUCUUCCAACUAUUCUCAGCAUUGUAGCUCUUCUGUGGAGACUGUAUCUUCAUAUAUGUGAAACAUGUUAAGGUGUUAGCUUCAUUAGUCUUUUUGUUGUUAGGAAUCAAAAAGUAGAAGGCAAGCAACAUAGCUUUCCAGUUAAUAUAGUAAGCAGGGAGGUCAAUUACCUUUCCUGUGCUUACUUGAAGGUAGYGGUGUGGUGUACUAUGAAGUAUACCAUGUGUGGGCUCAACUUUUGCUAUUGCUCUAUAUUUACCUAAUAUUCAGGAGCUGGGCUCAYGAAAGCUGCUUCUAUCAGCACUGUACUUCAAGUGUGGAGGCUGAAGCCAGUUUUGAAAGACUAACACUGUCACACCAAUUGUUUAUAGUUCUAGGUGCAGGACAGAAUGUGCCUGGGUCACUUAAAUACAUGAAGUCCAAGUUCCUGUGCAAAACAAUCCCAGAUAGAGCUGGCUCAUCCAAUCUCAUUCAGUUCUGUCUCCACAGAUAGGAUUUUUUUAUGCAAUACUUAAUCUUGUAGCUGCUUUUUUUUUUCUUCCAGGCUGGAAUUUCCCUUAUUCCAAGUUGUACUUGUUACAUCUUGUCCUGCCCCUGUAAGCCUCUGCAAAGAGCCUAGCUCUAUCCCCWUUGGGCAUUCUAUUUGCUCAUGAAUGAUGCAAAUGUAGACUCUUCAGCUUUCUAUAAGGGGUGAACAAACUAUUUUCGUUGCCCUCGGCUUGACUUGCUCCUAUAUGUCAACACCUUUCUUGUGGUGGGGAACAUGGAACUGGAUGUGGUCUUCUGUGUCUGCUCUAACAGAUGUGAGAGGUACGAGCAGAGGGUCACAACUGUCUUACCUGCUGGCUCCGGAGCCUGCUUUAGCASCUUAGCCUUUACUGCAAGGGUGUGCUGGCUCAUGUUCAAUUCCUGUGAUGCCAUUCCCCAAACUUUAGUGUUGCUAUGGAGCCAACUGCCCCUCAAGGUUAAGUGGUGCUGGCAAAGUUAAUGCAAGACCCACCUCUGUGGCCUGAGAAAAGGAAGUAAUACCCACUCACACAGAUGUGAGACACUAGAGGGCAAAAGGGCGAGCAGGCAUUUUGUAAGGCCUCAGUAUCCACAUAAAUGUGGCUAGGGGCUAAAAGAGGAUGCCCUUUAAUUGCAGCUAGAAGUGGCUGAUGACCAAGUUCAUUUUGGCUUAGCUCAGGCAAUUGGAUAUCACUGUCCUAGGAUGCCCUUUUUCAUGGCAGGGCACUUAAGGUGACCCAUCUUCCUGCACAUGGAGUAAGCCAGUUUUCUCAGAUAACAGCAGCAAGUCGGAUUUUUCCAGCUGAAGCACAUGCUGUUAAGUAAAAACUAUUGURUAAGCAAGAAUGAGGAACUGAAUAGCUGUACAAGGGCUAUACCACGUUUCUCUUGGGAGAUCCAAUCAUCACUGCUUAGAAGAUGGUAACAAUAGGCCCUGCACUCCGUGUUGCAUUGAUCUUCACAGGAUAGUGGAGACUCAUCCCUUACAUAUGUGGAAUUUAAGUGACCUAAGCUGGAAAUAAGUCUSUAUCAUGGUAAUCUAGAAACUUGGAAUUUGAGGUAAUACAAGAACUGACUUUGGUACUAACAAAGCAACAGGCCAAGUGUUCAGCUAUGGGCUUCAUUUUCCAUAUAUGUAAAAUCAGCAAUUUCACAGUGCCUUGCUCCACCUACCCCCUUCCCUUGUGUUUUGAGGGCUUCAUGUGUUCAUUGAUAGUAUAGUCUUUAAUUUCAGAGARGUAGUGAUGCUGAAUUCAACCUCUCUUUGUUUCUCAGCUAGCUUGUUAAAUGGCAUGAAUAAUCACCAGGAACUCAGUUAAUCAAAUGAAACUUUAUUUCUGUGAAUUCCUAUACCAACAUUAUGAAGUUUUUAGCUGGACAGCUGAUACAUGUGUACAGCUUAAGCAGCUCUGAAUGGAAAAAUUACUGCUUACAUUAACUUCAGAAGGUAAACUCUCAAAAAUGCCACCAGCUUCUUGCUAUAGGUUGUUUUAAAUAUCCUGCUUCUCUUGAAGCUUCAACUUUUGUAUUAAAAACUGCAACCAUGAGCUUUAAAAAAUGAAAGCAAAGACAAAUCUAAGAAAUAGAUUGAAGUAUUUUGCUGAUGUGGAGUCAGUCGUCACCUUUUAAUGACUACUAGAAACAUGUACAAAUAUACUAUUUCUCUUAGCUAGACAACUUUGAAAAGACGGGAAGUCUAACAACUCUUAAAGCCUCAUCCUCCUCCCUGAAUGAUUUAAACAUUUGAUAUAAAUUCCUUUUCAAGUACUGGCAGUGYAGAGUAUUGCUGCCCCUUGUGUGUACCAGUCAAUCAAAGUGAAUUGGUAUAAUAGACACUGAAGAUUCUUCACCUAUGCCCUGCYUUAACUGCCUUUUCUCAUGGUGUGUGAAAGGGGGAUCAAUUGUUCCUUCUGCACUUGGAGGCUGAGGAGCAAGAUUUUGUGGAACUGCAGCAACAACCUACCAUCAAAGAGUCUGCAACAAUGCAAGGAAUGAGCCAGUUUAAGUGCACUCUGAUUCUACUGCAAGAGAUUGCAGUUACCUAAAGUGCUUGCACAAAGGCUCAUCAGAAAAAAUGUCUGAUUGAAAGCAGUGGGACAAUAUACAGUCUGUAGAAAGCAGGACUGCAGUACUGUUGGAAGAUUUAGCUCAACCCCUAAUACAGUGAAGCUUGCGCUUUAUUUACCAUUAAAUCAUGUGCUGCCUGCCAUAAC
RNA transcript from Malurus melanocephalus (red-backed fairy wren), 5184 nucleotides. It is a transcript of the gene named phosphatidylinositol 3,4,5-trisphosphate 3-phosphatase TPTE2-like, with no coding region annotated. The record is from RefSeq and is a predicted model, not a curated record. The transcript has 21 exons. Lineage: Eukaryota; Metazoa; Chordata; Aves; Passeriformes; Maluridae.